This 346-nucleotide ribosomal RNA is filed under the name uncultured bacterium. RNAcentral describes it as "bacterial SSU rRNA". It matches the Rfam family "Bacterial small subunit ribosomal RNA", at positions 8 to 350 of the family's 1533-position model. The record is from RNAcentral.
AGAGUUUGAUCAUGGCUCAGGACGAACGCUGGCGGCGCGCCUAACACAUGCAAGUCGAACGAGCGAGAGAGAGCUUGCUUUCUCGAGCGAGUGGCGAACGGGUGAGUAACGCGUGAGGAACCUGCCUCAAAGAGGGGGACAACAGUUGGAAACGACUGCUAAUACCGCAUAAGCCCACGGCUCGGCAUCGAGCAGAGGGAAAAGGAGCAAUCCGCUUUGAGAUGGCCUCGCGUCCGAUUAGCUAGUUGGUGAGGUAACGGCCACAAGGCAACGAUCGGUAGCCGGACUGAGAGGAAGGUCCCCCANAUUGGAACUGAGACACGGUCCAAACUCCGUACGGGAGGCA